UGUUGCUGAUUAACAGUACAAAGUUUUACUGAAGUAGUCUUUCUUGUCAGUAAGCCUUAUCACAACAUCUUAGGAUGGUUAACCUAACUACAAAAUUCUAGGCUUGGUCUACUUCUGAAUCUUUGUCCUUCUCUAAGCAUAUUAAACCUUAUUGUUUUAUUUGGAUAUGCUCGACAUGUGAAUUUUCUGAAAGACUUUGUAGUGGUAAAAAAUGCUUACUUCUUGAGGACGUUGACAAUAGUACCCAUAUUUAAAUGGAUAAAAAUAGGUUUAUGUGAAUCCUCUGUUUUUUUGCAUGUCCUUCUAAUGGUUUGUAAAGACCAGUCUUUGAAUGAUUUUACAGUUUAUACCCCAGUACUUGGUAAGAUAAAUUACUGAGAUUUCUUUAUUGAUUUUCAGGUUACAGAAAACAAGCUUUACCAAUAUAUCUUAAGGUUGUCGAAAAUUCCUAAUCUAAUAGCUAGCUCAAGUAAGGUGAACUCAUUGGUGCAGAUAUUUCUAAAUGAUCAAACUACUGAUGUGUUGUGAAAUGUCAACUGAUUAUCACUCGGAAACACCUCAUUUAACAAGUAUCCAGCUUAAGGCUAGAGUAAUGGACAUGAAUAGAGCUAAGUUUGCUAGGCAGUGAAGUCUUGUUGGUAAUAAGCAGCUGCUAACUUGUUGGAAGAUUCUGAAGUUGGUUUGUUAAGUUUGUCAAAGGAAUAUCUACAGGUUGAACUUUCUUUUUGCUUAGUGUUGAAAUUUUCAGAUUUGGAAGAUUGUAAAAGUUUUAAUUGAGAACUUAUUUUCAUACAAAUUUAGU
Papaver somniferum (opium poppy) is the source of this 802-nucleotide long non-coding RNA. RefSeq lists it as uncharacterized. The transcript has 3 exons. NCBI's taxonomy places the organism in Eukaryota, Viridiplantae, Streptophyta, Magnoliopsida, Ranunculales, Papaveraceae. The record is from RefSeq and is a predicted model, not a curated record.